GUUGGGGAAUGUGAAGUCUUCCCACACCCCUUGAUUGCUCAGCACACCCCUGUGGACCCCCUUCCUUUGGGUCAAGAGCAUUUUUCUAACUACACCCCCAAUUUUCAGUCUGUUUUUGUCUUUUGUAUAUUUUAUUUAUUAUUUUCUUCUUAUUAUUUUAUCUAUUUAUUUUUGUUCUUUAUUUUAUUUGCUUUAGUUUUUUUUAAUUUCUUUACCUCUUGGAUUGAUAGUGUACACUCUCCCUUGCAUUUU
Molecule: long non-coding RNA, 252 nt
Filed under: Lathyrus oleraceus (garden pea)
Lineage: Eukaryota; Viridiplantae; Streptophyta; Magnoliopsida; Fabales; Fabaceae
Description: Pisum sativum (pea) long non-coding RNA (PSAT_LNC029408)
Source: RNAcentral